This 294-nucleotide long non-coding RNA is filed under the name Mus pahari (shrew mouse). RNAcentral describes it as "lncRNA (MGP_PahariEiJ_G0003315.1)". The record is from RNAcentral. Lineage: Eukaryota; Metazoa; Chordata; Mammalia; Rodentia; Muridae.
GGAUUGAUGGCUUCUGCUGUGGUCUCCUGGGGAAGGCUGCGGUGGCCUUCCAGCCUGCAGCAUUUGUAACUCUGCUGUCACCAAGUGUUAUAGAGGUCACCCUGGAGAAGACUCUUGCUCAGGGACAGAUGGAGCCUCACUCAUUGGGACGAGCCAGGACCCUGGUCAGUGGGCACAGUUACAGGUGCCGAAGAGUCUUAGAAGUGUCCAAGCAGAACAGAGCUAAAAGGGACCCUGUAGUUUGGUUAUUCUGGUAACUUCUCUUUAUGGAUGAAUAAAGAUCAAAAUGGGUAA